CCUACGGGUGGCAGCAGUGGGGAAUAUUGGACAAUGGGCGAAAGCCUGAUCCAGCCAUGCCGCGUGUGUGAAGAAGGCCUUCGGGUUGUAAAGCACCUUCAGUGGGGAAGAAAGCCUUGGGGCUAAUACCCUCGAGGAAGGACAUCACCCACAGAAGAAGCACCGGCUAACUCCGUGCCAGCAGCCGCGGUAAUACGGAGGGUGCGAGCGUUAAUCGGAAUUACUGGGCGUAAAGCGCGCGUAGGCGGUCUGAUAAGCCGGUUGUGAAAGCCCCGGGCUCAACCUGGGAACGGCAUCCGGAACUGUCAGGCUAGAGUGCAGGAGAGGAAGGUAGAAUUCCCGGUGUAGCGGUGAAAUGCGUAGAGAUCGGGAGGAAUACCAGUGGCGAAGGCGGCCUUCUGGACUGACACUGACGCUGAGGUGCGAAAGCGUGGGUAGCAAACAGGAUUAGAUACCCCAGUAGUC
Molecule: ribosomal RNA, 465 nt
Filed under: Vreelandella stevensii
Lineage: Bacteria; Pseudomonadati; Pseudomonadota; Gammaproteobacteria; Oceanospirillales; Halomonadaceae
Description: partial 16S ribosomal RNA
Rfam family: Bacterial small subunit ribosomal RNA
Source: RNAcentral